This 388-nucleotide ribosomal RNA is filed under the name uncultured eukaryote. Its description in RNAcentral is "partial 18S ribosomal RNA". It matches the Rfam family "Eukaryotic small subunit ribosomal RNA", at positions 592 to 976 of the family's 1831-position model. The record is from RNAcentral.
CAAUAGCGUAUAUUAAAGUUGUUGCAGUUAAAAAGCUCGUAGUUGGAUUUCUGAUCGAGACAUCAGGUCGGGUCCGAGAGGAUCAUGUACUUUGAUUUUGUUUUGAUCAUCCUUGGGGAGAGCAUUUCUGGCAUUCAGUUGUCGGGAUUGGGAUCCCCAUCGUUUACUGUGAAAAAAUUAGAGUGUUCAAAGCAGGCCUCGGCCUCUGAAUACAUUAGCAUGGAAUAAUAAGAUAGGACUUUGGUGGUCUAUUUUGUUGGUUUGCACGCCAAAGUAAUGAUUAAUAGGGAUAGUUGGGGGUAUUCGUAUUCAAUUGUCAGAGGUGAAAUUCUUGGAUUUAUGGAAGACGAACUACUGCGAAAGCAUUUACCAAGGAUGUUUUCAUUAA